RNAcentral lists this ribosomal RNA (389 nucleotides) under uncultured bacterium. Its description in RNAcentral is "bacterial SSU rRNA". It matches the Rfam family "Bacterial small subunit ribosomal RNA", at positions 29 to 408 of the family's 1533-position model. The record is from RNAcentral.
AAUGAACGCUGGCGGCGCGCCUAAUACAUGCAAGUCGAGCGAGAAGACGUAGCGAUACGUUUGUAAAGCGGCGAACGGGUGAGGAAUACAUGGGUAACCUACCCUCGAGUGGGGAAUAACUAGCCGAAAGGUUAGCUAAUACCGCGUACGCUUCUUGGACUUCGGUUCAGGGAGGAAAGCGAUGCCGAGGGUAUCGCGCUCUUGGAUGGGCUCAUGUCCUAUCAGCUGUUGGUGAGGUAACGGCUCACCAAGGCUUCGACGGGUAGCUGGUCUGAGAGGACGAUCAGCCACACUGGCACUGCGACACGGGCCAGACUCCUACGGGAGGCAGCAGUAAGGAAUAUUGCGCAAUGGGCGAAAGCCUGACGCAGCGACGCCGCGGUGGGGGA